CCCUUAGAUGUUCUGGGCCGCACGCGCGCUACACUGAUGCAUUCAACGAGCCUAUCCUUGACCGACAGGUCCGGGUAAUCUUUGAAUCUGCAUCGUGACGGGGAUAGAUUAUUGCAAUUAUUAAUCUUCAACGAGGAAUGCCUAGUAGGCGCAAGUCAUCAGCUUGCGUCGAUUACGUCCCUGCCCUUUGUACACACCGCCCGUCGCUCCUACUGAUUGGGUGUGCUGGUGAAAUGUUCGGAUCGGCCGUUUGUCGCGGUUUCCGCGUCAUGUGGCUGAGAAGUUCAUUAAACCCUCCCACCUAGAGGAAGGAGAAGUCGUAACA
Molecule: ribosomal RNA, 325 nt
Filed under: uncultured eukaryote
Lineage: Eukaryota
Description: partial 18S ribosomal RNA
Rfam family: Eukaryotic small subunit ribosomal RNA
Source: RNAcentral